This 227-nucleotide long non-coding RNA is filed under the name Lathyrus oleraceus (garden pea). RNAcentral's name for it is "Pisum sativum (pea) long non-coding RNA (PSAT_LNC019152)". Lineage: Eukaryota; Viridiplantae; Streptophyta; Magnoliopsida; Fabales; Fabaceae. The record is from RNAcentral.
UUUGUUGUAGAUUGUUUUUUUAAUUUUCUUUUUGGUUUUUUGGUUGUAUAAGGGUAUCUUUAUAUUAAAUAAUAAAGAAUUAUAUUUCUAUUGUUAUAUUAUUUAACCAAAUUAUGUUAUAUUAAAAAAUAUAGCAUAGUUAUUCUUUGGCUACACUUAGGGUGAGAAUAAGUUAAGGCGAAUUAUGCAUAUUUUGCUUUUUUAAAUUGUAAAUUCCAUGUAUGGAC